Molecule: ribosomal RNA, 468 nt
Filed under: uncultured bacterium
Lineage: Bacteria
Description: partial 16S ribosomal RNA
Rfam family: Bacterial small subunit ribosomal RNA
Source: RNAcentral
GACGAACGCUGGCGGCGUGCUUAACACAUGCAAGUCGAACGGAAAGGCCCUGCUUUUGUGGGGUGCUCGAGUGGCGAACGGGUGAGUAACACGUGAGUAACCUGCCCUUGACUUUGGGAUAACUUCAGGAAACUGGGGCUAAUACCGGAUAGGAGCUCCUGCUGCAUGGUGGGGGUUGGAAAGUUUCGGCGGUUGGGGAUGGACUGGCGGCUUAUCAGCUUGUUGGUGGGGUAGUGGCUUACCAAGGCUUUGACGGGUAGCCGGCCUGAGAGGGUGACCGGCCACAUUGGGACUGAGAUACGGCCCAGACUCCUACGGGAGGCAGCAGUGGGGAAUAUUGCACAAUGGGCGGAAGCCUGAUGCAGCAGCGCCGCGUGCGGGAUGACGGCCUUCGGGUUGUAAACCGCUUUCGCCUGUGACGAAGCGUGAGUGACGGUAAUGGGUAAAGAAGCACCGGCUAACUACGUG